RNAcentral lists this ribosomal RNA (253 nucleotides) under uncultured bacterium. RNAcentral's name for it is "partial 16S ribosomal RNA". It matches the Rfam family "Bacterial small subunit ribosomal RNA", at positions 524 to 776 of the family's 1533-position model. The record is from RNAcentral.
UACAGAGGGUGCUAGCGUUGUUCGGAAUCAUUGGGCGUAAAGGGCGUGUAGGCGGUUUGUUAAGUCAUGUGUGAAAGCCCACGGCUCAACCGUGGAGGGUCAUUGGAAACUGGGGGACUUGAGUGCAGGAGAGAAGAGUGGAAUUCCACGUGUAGCGGUGAAAUGCGUAGAGAUGUGGAGGAACACCAGUGGCGAAGGCGACUCUUUGGCCUGUAACUGACGCUGAGGCGCGAAAGCGUGGGGAGCAAACAGG